This 29-nucleotide non-coding RNA is filed under the name Rattus norvegicus (Norway rat). The record is from RNAcentral. Lineage: Eukaryota; Metazoa; Chordata; Mammalia; Rodentia; Muridae.
UAGUACAGUUUGAUAUCAGGAAUGGUGAU